GUUACUUUGGCAGAAUAGUGCCUUAAAUUUAGAAUUUAAUUAUGUAUGUAUUAUACAAGUAAUA
This 64-nucleotide transfer RNA is filed under the name Philonthus decorus. RNAcentral describes it as "tRNA-Leu". The record is from RNAcentral. Lineage: Eukaryota; Metazoa; Arthropoda; Insecta; Coleoptera; Staphylinidae.